GAUAAACGCUAGCGGCAGGCUUAACACAUGCAAGUCGAGGGGCAGCAUAGAUUGUAGCAAUACAAUUGGUGGCGACCGGCGCACGGGUGCGUAACGCGUAUGCAACCUACCCGUCACAGGGGGAUAAUCCGGAGAAAUCUGGUCUAAUACCCCAUAACAUAUGGAUCGGCAUCGGUUCAUGUUGAAAUUUUCGGAGGUGACGGAUGGGCAUGCGUAGCAUUAGCUUGUUGGUGAGGUAACGGCUCGCCAAGGCGACGAUGCUUAGGGGGACUGAGAGGUUUUCCCCCCACACUGGUACUGAGACACGGACCAGACUCCUACGGGAGGCAGCAGUGAGGAAUAUUGGUCAAUGGGCGCAAGCCUGAACCAGCCAUGCCGCGUGCAGGAUGACGGCUCUAUGAGUUGUAAACUGCUUUUGUACGAGGGUAAAGUGGGUUACGUGUAACCUCUUGGAAGUAUCGUACGAAUAAGGAUCGGCUAACUCCGUGCCAGCCGCCGCCGUAA
RNAcentral lists this ribosomal RNA (504 nucleotides) under uncultured bacterium. RNAcentral describes it as "partial 16S ribosomal RNA". It matches the Rfam family "Bacterial small subunit ribosomal RNA", at positions 28 to 523 of the family's 1533-position model. The record is from RNAcentral.